This is a long non-coding RNA of Syngnathoides biaculeatus (alligator pipefish), 435 nucleotides long. RefSeq lists it as uncharacterized. The transcript is spliced from 3 exons. Lineage: Eukaryota; Metazoa; Chordata; Actinopteri; Syngnathiformes; Syngnathidae. The record is from RefSeq and is a predicted model, not a curated record.
GCGCACCCGUGCAGGCACCCGCACAGCUCGUGCUGGAGUGGCAGGAUCAUGACAUAUAUGAAUAGUCAGGAAUCAUCAAAAACCUCUUUGACAGUAUUAUGGAUAGCAAGCAGAAAACAUUUUUCUUCUCAACAAAAUAUAGGGGAAUUAGUUGGACCCAAGAAUUGUUCUUACCUUCAUAGCUAGCACCAGACUCCUGAAUUGGGUUUACUGCUUCCUGUUGUGUUUCCAGCAAUUGCUGAUCGACAAGGAUUGUACAAUGUCGCAACAUACCGGUAGUUUAUCCUGCCGCUGAUGGAUAUAAAUAGUUGACUGUGGUACGCUAUGUUGCAUGGUGAUUGCAGACUCAGUCAGUAUACACACACGGGGUUUCCAAAUGGCCUGGGAUUUGCAUCAUAUGCCAAUCCUAAUGCUGAAAGAAUGCCAACCCCACCC